RNAcentral lists this unclassified non-coding RNA (321 nucleotides) under Marinospirillum alkaliphilum DSM 21637. RNAcentral's name for it is "Long range pseudoknot". The record is from RNAcentral. Lineage: Bacteria; Pseudomonadati; Pseudomonadota; Gammaproteobacteria; Oceanospirillales; Oceanospirillaceae.
ACCGAAGAUGGCGACUACCAGAUCAAACUGCGCAACAUGGUUCGCUUUCUGGAAGACGGUGACAAGGUUAAAGUCACGCUUCGUUUCCGCGGUCGUGAGAUGGCACACCAGGACAUUGGUAUGCGUCUCUUCCAACGAAUCGAAGAAGAUCUGGGUGACACCAUCAUUGUUGAAUCACGCCCUCGUUUAGAGGGACGUCAAAUGGUGAUGAUGCUGGCACCCAAGAAGAAAUGAUCCCCUGCCGCAUCGGGUGAUGCGGCCAGGUUCAGUUUUCGGGCCCGGAUCAUGCCCAAUCCCUUGCAACGCAUCUUUACUGAUGCA